Molecule: ribosomal RNA, 274 nt
Filed under: uncultured bacterium
Lineage: Bacteria
Description: partial 16S ribosomal RNA
Rfam family: Bacterial small subunit ribosomal RNA
Source: RNAcentral
AGACGGAGGGUCCUAGCGUUGUUCGGAAUAACUGGGCGUAAAGGGUACGUAGGCGGUUUGGUCAGUUAGAUGUGAAAGCCCAGGGCUCAACCUUGGAACUGCAUUUAAUACUGCCAGACUUGAGAUCGGAAGAGGAAAGCGGAAUUCCUAGUGUAGAGGUGAAAUUCGUAGAUAUUAGGAGGAACAUCAGAGGCGAAGGCGGCUUUCUGGUCCGAUACUGACGCUGAGGUACGAAAGCGUGGGGAGCAAACAGGAUUAGAUACCCUGGUAGUCC